RNAcentral lists this ribosomal RNA (507 nucleotides) under uncultured bacterium. RNAcentral's name for it is "bacterial SSU rRNA". It matches the Rfam family "Bacterial small subunit ribosomal RNA", at positions 791 to 1297 of the family's 1533-position model. The record is from RNAcentral.
UAGUCCACGCCGUAAACGAUGUCUACUAGCCGUUGGGAAUCUUGAAUUCUUAGUGGCGCAGCUAACGCGAUAAGUAGACCGCCUGGGGAGUACGGCCGCAAGGUUAAAACUCAAAUGAAUUGACGGGGGCCCGCACAAGCGGUGGAGCAUGUGGUUUAAUUCGAUGCAACGCGAAGAACCUUACCAAGACUUGACAUCCUGCGAACUUUCUAGAGAUAGAUUGGUGCCUUCGGGAACGCAGUGACAGGUGCUGCAUGGCUGUCGUCAGCUCGUGUUGUGAAAUGUUGGGUUAAGUCCCGUAACGAGCGCAACCCUUGUCCUUAGUUGCCAGCACAUAAUGGUGGGAACUCUAAGGAGACUGCCGGUGACAAACCGGAGGAAGGUGGGGACGACGUCAAGUCAUCAUGGCCCUUACGUCUUGGGCUACACACGUGCUACAAUGGGCAGUACAAAGGGCAGCAAACCCGCGAGGGGGAGCGAAUCCCAUAAAACUGCUCGUAGUCCGGA